GACGAACGCUGGCGGCGUGCCUAAUACAUGCAAGUAGAACGCUGAAGGAGGAGCUUGCUUCUCUGGAUGAGUUGCGAACGGGUGAGUAACGCGUAGGUAACCUGCCUGGUAGCGGGGGAUAACUAUUGGAAACGAUAGCUAAUACCGCAUAAGAGUAGAUGUUGCAUGACAUUUGCUUAAAAGGUGCAAUUGCAUCACUACCAGAUGGACCUGCGUUGUAUUAGCUAGUUGUUGGGGUAACGGCUCACCAAGGCGACGAUACAUAGCCGACCUGGGAGGGGGAUCGGCCCCACUGGGACUGAGACACGGCCCAGACUCCUACGGGAGGCAGCAGUAGGGAAUCUUCGGCAAUGGACGGAAGUCUGAACGAGCAACGCCGCGUGAGUGAAGAAGGGUUUCGGAUCGUAAAGCUCUGUUGUAAGAGAAGAACGAGUGUGGGAGUGGAAAGUUCACACUGUGACGGUACCUUACCAGAAAGGGACGGCUAACUACGUG
RNAcentral lists this ribosomal RNA (495 nucleotides) under uncultured bacterium. RNAcentral describes it as "partial 16S ribosomal RNA". It matches the Rfam family "Bacterial small subunit ribosomal RNA", at positions 28 to 507 of the family's 1533-position model. The record is from RNAcentral.